UUCCUCAGUAGCUCAGUGGUAGAGCAGUCGGUUGUUAACCGAAAGCGCACGGGUUCAAAUCCUGUCUGAGGAGU
RNAcentral lists this transfer RNA (74 nucleotides) under Kamptonema sp. PCC 6506. RNAcentral describes it as "tRNA-Asn". It matches the Rfam family "tRNA". From Rfam's summary of the family: Transfer RNA (tRNA) molecules are approximately 80 nucleotides in length. Their secondary structure includes four short double-helical elements and three loops (D, anti-codon, and T loops). Lineage: Bacteria; Bacillati; Cyanobacteriota; Cyanophyceae; Oscillatoriales; Microcoleaceae. The record is from RNAcentral.